UGCCCUUGCCCCGACCCCCGCCCCGUCAGCUCCAGCUCAGGGGCUGAGGCUGGGGGAGAGAAGGGGAUCCCUAGGCGCCCCCAGUACAUGGCGGGGGGACGUGCGCCCCCGGUCCCUCGCGCUUCUCACCUGAAAUUGGGAGGCGACACGAUAUGCAACCCCAGGAAUGGGGAGGCCCCGGGCGUGGACGCGGCGCCCCCGCCCCCGGCGCGCCCGCCGCUCUCUCGCUCCGCCAUUCUCCCGGCGCAGCCCAGGCCAUCCGGGCGGGCGGAGCGAGCCGGAGAGGAGGAGGAGGAGGAGGAGGAGGAGGAGGGGAGGGGGAGGGAAAGGAGAAGGAGGGGGAGGGAAGGAAGGAGGAGGAAGGAGAGGAAGAGGAGGAGAAGGAGGAGAAGGGAAAAGGAAGAGGAGGAGGAAGAGGAAGAAAAGGGCGGAGAUGCUGCUGCUGAAGCUGCCAGACCUCUCUGCCCCGCCGCAGGGCCCCCCUCGGUCCUUCCCUCUCCGGAGCCCCCAGCAUUCCCCAGCUGGGCUUCCCCUGGCUCCCGGGGAGUCCAAAGGAGCCCUGGCGAGUCCCAUCUUCGAGAGCUGACCCAGAAGCUCGUCUUCCGGAUCUCUUCCUGCUCUUGCACUGGUAGCAGAAGGAGACCCCAUCUCAGAACCCGGAGCUCCAGGACGGCCUCUGGCCUCUCUCCCGCCUCGGCAUCCCUCCCUUCAGGCAGCACAGUGAACACUGGGUUUGGCCGCCUUGUAAAAUGGGAGGAGGCCCCAGAGUCCUCCCCCCAAAGCCCUGACCUCUGUGGCCCCCUCCCUCUCUCCUCCUGCCCAGUGGGGGAGGGUCUCUGCCCAGCACGCAGACUCCGGACGCCAGGGAGUCCUCCACCUCUGGCGCUGGCCUUUGUCCCGUGUUUCAGGAAGCCAGGCCGCCCCACGCCGCCCCAAUGA
Molecule: long non-coding RNA, 939 nt
Filed under: Monodelphis domestica (gray short-tailed opossum)
Lineage: Eukaryota; Metazoa; Chordata; Mammalia; Didelphimorphia; Didelphidae
Description: lncRNA (ENSMODG00000037526.1)
Source: RNAcentral